GACUUUGAAGUAUUAUUAUACGUUGAAUUGCAAAUUCAAAGAAGUAGUGAAAUUAUGCUGCUAAAGUCU
RNAcentral lists this transfer RNA (69 nucleotides) under Caluromys lanatus (western woolly opossum). RNAcentral describes it as "tRNA-Cys". The record is from RNAcentral. Lineage: Eukaryota; Metazoa; Chordata; Mammalia; Didelphimorphia; Didelphidae.